GACGAACGCUGGCGGCGUGCUUAACACAUGCAAGUCGAACGGAAAGGCCCUGCUUUUGUGGGGUGCUCGAGUGGCGAACGGGUGAGUAACACGUGAGUAACCUGCCCUUGACUUUGGGAUAACUUCAGGAAACUGGGGCUAAUACCGGAUAGGAGCUCCUGCUGCAUGGUGGGGGUUGGAAAGUUUCGGCGGUUGGGGAUGGACUCGCGGCUUAUCAGCUUGUUGGUGGGGUAGUGGCUUACCAAGGCCUUGACGGGUAGCCGGCCUGUGAGGGUGACCGGCCACAUUGGGACUGAGAUACGGCCCAGACUCCUACGGGAGGCAGCAGUGGGGAAUAUUGCACAAUGGGCGGAAGCCUGAUGCAGCAACGCCGCGUGCGGGAUGACGGCCUUCGGGUUGUAAACCGCUUUCGCCUGUGACGAAGCGUGAGUGACGGUAAUGGGUAAAGAAGCACCGGCUAACUACGUG
This 468-nucleotide ribosomal RNA is filed under the name uncultured bacterium. Its description in RNAcentral is "partial 16S ribosomal RNA". It matches the Rfam family "Bacterial small subunit ribosomal RNA", at positions 28 to 507 of the family's 1533-position model. The record is from RNAcentral.